RNAcentral lists this ribosomal RNA (371 nucleotides) under uncultured bacterium. RNAcentral's name for it is "bacterial SSU rRNA". It matches the Rfam family "Bacterial small subunit ribosomal RNA", at positions 527 to 896 of the family's 1533-position model. The record is from RNAcentral.
GUAGGAGGCAAGCGUUGUCCGGAAUUACUGGGCGUAAAGCGCGUGUAGGCGGUCUGAAUAGUCUGCUGUGAAAGCGCCUGGCUUAACCGGGCGAGGUCGGCGGAAACUCUCAGACUGGAGGCCGGUAGAGGGGGGUGGAAUUCCCGGUGUAGUGGUGAAAUGCGUAGAGAUCGGGAGGAACACCUGUGGCGAAGGCGGCCCCCUGGGCCGCGCCUGACGCUGAGACGCGAAGGCUAGGGGAGCGAACGGGAUUAGAUACCCCGGUAGUCCUAGCAGUAAACGAUGUGUACUAGGUGUGGGGGGUAUCGAGCCCCUCCGUGCCGCAGCUAACGCAAUAAGUACACCGCCUGGGGAGUACCGCCGCAAGGUUA